Molecule: long non-coding RNA, 2618 nt
Organism: Anas platyrhynchos (mallard)
Lineage: Eukaryota; Metazoa; Chordata; Aves; Anseriformes; Anatidae
Source: RefSeq, a predicted model, not a curated record
ACAUAUAUAACCACUUGUUUGUUUGUACUUUUACAGGUGUUGGUCCUGUGCAGAUACGGAACAUGGUUAAAGUUUCAUAAUGGAAAAUCUGACAGGCAGUUAACUAAUCCAUGAGUCACAUUUCGUAAUAGCCUAAAGGUCUCUGAUGUUCGACCUUCAUUUGAUACCCUUGCCAUCAGGGAGUUAUACAUAACCCAUCUGAAGAACAUUCUUUAUAUAGAUGACUGCAAGCUGCCCUUUUAUACCUGCAAGAAUGAAUAGGCAUCACAUUUACUGAACCAGGGAAGUUUUCUGCCUGCCUUUCCACUCCUCCCUCUCCCUCUGACUCUUUGCAGGACUGCAGAGGAGCAUUGCAGGAAACUCAAAUGCAAACAGUGGCAGAGUGCUUAGUUUAAGUCUCUUGCAGGGCCUAGCUGAAAGCUUUUGACGGUGCUAUUCAGGAUGUCAGCUUCCCUGUUUCUUCCCCAUUUCCUGGUUCCCUGAGCUGGUAUGGAGCCUCUGAUGCUGCAACAAGGCAAGGUUUUGUCCGACGUGUGUUCUGUUUCCCUGCUGUGUAGUAGCGCUGCUGGAGGCUGGGUGUUAGCACUGGAAACCUGAUGAUUCAGUCACAGAAGUAUGAAGGCCAUAUUGCGGCAACAGGGAGGAAGCGGGGACAUAUAACCUUACCAUGUGUUUUCUGGUGGUCAGAGGUUUCAGUUCAUACUGAAAGAAUUCGUAUUCGGAAAGUUUCAAAAGAUUAAAUGCAGACUCUCCUCGUAUUCUAGAUGGCAGUCAAGCACCACAAGCAACCUCAUUCUCUGCCAACAGUGCUUCUGGAGAAGUAAUGUCUUGUCUGGUUAUUUAUAAAUAGUAAUUUUCCAGGAUCGACACCUAUCAGAGCCCAGCCGUUCACCUCCACUGCCUCCCAUUCCUUGGCAACUGUUCCCCCAGCAAGAGUGCACAGGCAGCACGAGACCUCCAGCUGCCCCUGAUGCCUCUCCUCACCUUCAGUCUCACAGGUCUGGGGAUCUUAGGGUGGUGAGAGAAGCAUCUGCUCUUUGAGCCUCUGCCUCAAACAACAACAUUGCCACGAAUAAGUUUCUGAUAACAAGGAGUUGGGAACUGUACCAGAUAGGAAGACUGCCAGCUCCCUGACACUCACCUCUGGCUGGGGCAUGAGAGGAAGUCCCCUGGCAGAAUAUCUGUGUGAACAACAAAUCCUGCUCACCCCUGAUGGCCACAACAAUGCUGAGCUGAGCAAAUGCACCCUACCCACAGACAAUGCCAAGGCCCUCUGCUCAGCAGAAGAAGGUGAAUUGAGCUUGCCUUCAUGCUCUUAGCAGCCUCGCUCCUGCUGCUCCCUCAAAAACGUAGACUCUGUUUAUGAACACCAAUAUCCUCAAAGCAGAAUUAAAGUUAAUUCUAUUGCAGGCUGACAGAUGCCGAAUAAUAAGCCAGAAACAAAUCUCGAAGGAAGGCAAAUAAAUGCCUACGGUAUCUGGAUCAAUAUCUCAGCAUGCAGUGCUCCAGGGAGAGAAGCUGUAUGAAAUCUCUAAAUGUUUAACCACUUGUGUGUGUUUCUGUGGGGAGAGAAGUGCCAGAUUAGUUUUCCUGUGAUUAGUAUCAUGUCCUUGGCUGGACAGUAUUUUUAUCUCAGCAAGCCCAAGAUGUAUUUUGGUUUAGGCCCCAGAAGCUACCAACUCUAAUUAGUAAAUUAAAAGAAAAAGAACGGAGUGUGUUAGGAACUAUGGAGAGAUUUUCCAGGAUCAUUUAUGAAGCCAUCUUCUUUGCUUGUUGAUUACCAUUAAGCACCUAUUAACUCCGUUGCAGGAAGGUGAUGGAUGAUUAAACUGGGUUAAAUGGAAGUGAUUACGUUGGCUUAUCCCUGUCAUGGAAAAAUUCACUGGGACACGGAAGAGGGAGGAAAUUGUCACACAGAUGCCAGGAAGUUCUGCUGGAAGGUACACGAAAUUGUUUUUCUCCCUGUAAAAGAGCCUUAUCCCACCCAGGAUCCACCUGGAUGCCCCAGACUCGCUUUGAAUUGAAUUGUUUUCACCUCGGACAGCAGUUGCCCCAGCGUUGCACCUGCAUGGUCCACCUGACCUGCAUUUUGAAAGCAUCCCUGAAGACACUGAGAAGCAAGCACCUCGCCCCUGUCGUGACUGCUAACACAGAAGCAGGGUUUUAUUGCAGGGACCGGUGCACAGUUUCCUGCUGGCCAGCAGCCAGGAGCUUGCUUCCUCCAGGUAACAAACAUCCCUGAGCUCUCUCUGUGCUGCCACUCCUCUUUACGGAGAUUUGCAGCAGACACCAUGUGGCAGACCCCUCUGUCAUGACUUUCGUCUCUUGUGCCAUCAGAGAACCGCCCUGGGGACAUGGGGCUGAGAUGUCUGUGUGCGAGCAUGUGCGUGCGCCUCUGUGCACACAGCUGUGUUUGUUUUAUGUUGUAUAUAGAAGAAAAUAAGAUUAUUUAUGUUCUAAUCAUUAUGUGUUCCCUGAGCAAAAUAUUUUCUGCUCUGAUUUAUUGCUCUCUUUAGUCCUGCCCUCAAGCAUUGUUUUUAUGUUUGGAGCUGAUCACAUUUUUUUUCUUUCCCAUUUGGAAAUGGAAAUCUUAAAUCUAACGGCAUAUUGAAUGAAAA